GCGUCGGUAGUGCAACGGUCCAGUACACUCUCCCGGAAAGGGUAAGAUCUGGGUUCGAAUCGCGGCUGACGCA
This is a non-coding RNA of Parelaphostrongylus tenuis, 73 nucleotides long. Lineage: Eukaryota; Metazoa; Nematoda; Chromadorea; Rhabditida; Metastrongylidae. The record is from the annotation of a GenBank genome assembly.